AAAACAUAUACUCCAUUAUUUCUCUCUCUAUCGUCUGUUUCUUAGUCCUUCUUCUUCUUCUUCAUCAUAUCAAUUCCUCUACUUCUCAAUUGCAUUAAUUGAGAGUCAAGUACUUCAUCUUUGUGUAUCUUAUGAUUUCAAUUUUAUAUUAUAAUUUAAAUUUACUUGCAAGUUGAAAUUCCGUAAGAGAUAAAAAGCAAUUGUUACAUUUGGAUCCAUAUGACUUGAUAUGUAGGUUAUAGCUUUAUUUCUCUUGCUUGUUUAGUAUAGUCAAGUUUCAAUGGAAGGGUUGGUACACCUUUUUGGGGGCAUGAGUACCGUUACUGCUUUUUGGAGCUUUGAUCUGUAAAAGCAAGAGCACAAAUAGAAAGGAAAGCUACAGGGUAGAGGUUAAAUUUAAAACAUCAUUUUGUAUGUUUUUAGCUAGAUAUGUAUGGUUUCUUAUUAACUAAUAAACGCUCAUAUGUAUUGGAAAAAAUUAAGUUAAUAUAUUGAAUUAAUUAUGUGAUGAUAUAUUAUGACACAUGGGUUAGUAAAAGAAUGAUAGAUGGCAAAGACGUAUGAGCUUUAACAGACACGUGCAAAGAUCCAACAAUACCAGAAGGAAUGGGUGCGCGAACCUCUUGCUAAUUUGAAUAAGUAUUUGAGGAAUGAACCUAGAUAGCAAAAAAAUAUAUAUAUAUUUUAUCGGUAGUUAAUAAGAAAUAAUUAUAGGAAUAUAUAAGGCGAUUGUCUCGAAAGGAGACCCUCGAAGAAAUUCACAUUUGAGGGUUUGACCUAUCGGUCGAGAUCUAGGAAGCAAUAAAGUUUGAGGUCGAGGCGAAGAAACUUUCCGAGCCUGAAGGUGGCGCAUGCUCCGAGAGUUCUAAGGGAUCUGAAGACUCUGACGGUUAUGGCAACAAGUCGAGCCUCAAUGAAGACUAGGCAUGAAUGUCUUAGAACUUUUUUUGUUUUUGUCCUGUGUAUGUUUUUUCUUUAUUUUAAGGCCUUUUUUGUUGGUCCUUUGUAAAUACAUUCUGGAAUAUAUAAAAUUUCCCUUUCUGGC
This 1045-nucleotide long non-coding RNA is filed under the name Nicotiana benthamiana. Its description in RNAcentral is "long non-coding RNA (NBEN_LNC036052)". Lineage: Eukaryota; Viridiplantae; Streptophyta; Magnoliopsida; Solanales; Solanaceae. The record is from RNAcentral.